CUGACACCAGACCAGCAGAUUCGUUUACUGAAAGCUGCACGAUUACAAUCAGUCAAUGGAGAAUUUCCAACACGCACUUAGUCUAUGUCAAAAGACAGGUGACGUGAGUGGUCAAGCUGAAGCAUACCAUGGUAUGGGUAAUGUGCACAGGUCUCAGGGCAAGUACGAGGACGCAAUGAAUAACUACCAACACGCACUUAGUCUAUU
Molecule: long non-coding RNA, 207 nt
Organism: Nematostella vectensis (starlet sea anemone)
Lineage: Eukaryota; Metazoa; Cnidaria; Anthozoa; Actiniaria; Edwardsiidae
Exons: 2
Source: RefSeq, a predicted model, not a curated record